CUUCAUUAACGGCUGCAGUUGCAUCAUUGUUUCCUUUAUUUGUUAUCUCUGUAAAGCCAAUGAUUCAGUAACAGGCUAUAUUUAGGUGUUUUCUUCCUUACAAAUAUGUGGUCUUUAAUAGUGAUGGAUUAAGUAGGCCGUAUGUAAAGUAUUUUUAUAAAUAUUAGCGUUUAUUUGUGGGUUUUCUAUUGCAAAUUAUCUUAUCUCAAGGUCGUGCUUUGCAUCCGGUUUGUGUUGGACAUCGGUUUCUAAAUAGACAGACAAGGUCCUACCUUCAAGACAUAUUUUCAGUUCAAGUACAAAGCUGAAGGCAGCAGCGUCAGAACCUGACGACUACAGGGAGCCAGCUCAGAUCUGGGUCAUGCUGCCACCAGCACAAACCAGGAACAUACUGGAGCUUUUACACAUCUUCAUCUCCACCAAGGCUCCCAUGGAGGCAUAGAGAAACCUGAAGCCAAGAGGCACGGAGCUGCAUCCUAGCACCUGUCAUUCACACCCACAUUGGUUCAUGUUCUGUUUUCAACCUCUCUCUCAUAUUCUCUCCUCUCAUCAUGCCUCUCUAUAUCUGCCAUUAGCUGUUACUCUACCAUAUAAUAUGCACAUGUACUGUAUACCUUACUUACCAUAUAGUAGACAGCGUGUGCUGUUCACACUGCAGAGUUUCUGUGUGUAUCUCAGGCAGCCACUGCAGUGACAAGGGCACUGGAUCAACCUUUGACAAUAACAAAGACAUUUCCAAAUACAAUACAAUUGCAAUAGUGAGAAAAAAAACUACACGUAUCCAUUAAAACAAUACGCUUGAAUUCUCAUCACUAACAUUCAGCGACAAUUAAUUUGACCAUUGUCGGGUUAUAGAAUAGUCAUGCCAAGGGUUCUUCUACAACAUUCAAAGGACAUGUUUAUUUGGAUUAGGCCUAGAGAAGAAUAGAGUGGUGAGAUAGAUGUGGUUGAUUUAGAUAAUGUCUCCAUUCUUCUUUGUUGGGAAUUGUUUGGACCAGAGCCUGCAUUACAGUUAUUGAUGAGGAGAUUCAGAUAGGCAGGCUGGAGGACACAAGGCUUUUGUUUUGAGUAGAGUAGAGGUGCAAUCAGCAUGCAGUUAGUGAAGAAAGGUGAAGCUACAAUAAAUACGUAUAGAUGGAUAUUUUAAACAUAUAUUGAGAUUGAUUAGAAUAUGAAGUGUUCAAAUCAAGUGAGUUGAUCAUAGUUGUUCAUUUCCAUCAUCAACAACUAGCCUACUCUCAGUAUUAAAAUACCUGAGUAGGAAUUUAGAUAUCGGCCAACACUUGGGUAAUGUAAAGCUCAGAAUAGACAUCAAUAGGAUGCGGUUUUGGUUAAGGACGAGAUUAUCAGAAUAGCGACUGGUGGGCCGUAUGUCACUGGGUUGACCAGUGGAAAUUCUAAAUUGUCUGGUGACACACUUGAAUGGAGAGUUUUGUCCGGUCGUGGGAAAAGCUCGCUUGGUCGUUUCACAAAUCCAGCGUAUAGCCUCCUCCUACUGAAUCAAACCAAUUAGCCAGGAGCGCGCUCCAGCCAUUGAGAGCCACUGUAGGCUCUGAGAGGAGUUGUUGGUUGAAUGAAAAUGCAUCCCCGGAUUUGGUUCUCCAAGAGAAGCUAUAGAAGUUGCCUUUUGAAGGACGGCUAUAGCACCGUGAAGGGCCAGGCAGAAAGUCCAAAUUGAGACACUUGAAUCAUUUGGGCGAUUAGGUGUGCACACAAUGCGUAAAAGUAUUGUGUGACUCACAUGGGAGGUAUAAUGCAUUUAAAAUCUACAAAAACCAUGAAUAUCUUAAGUGUUCUUCCUUUCUAGGUAACACAACUCAAUGUGAGAACACAACUACAUGUUUUUAUUCCUGAAAUGAUGCGUUUAUGUAAUGACAUGGAUCUCUUGACUUAAUAUCGACUGAAAGAUAUCAUUAGCCUACGCUUAUUCAGAAUAUCAGUGCAAGGGGUAGGCAAAGCCUACAUAGCUCAUCUUUUUCAUAGGCGUUGGACUACAGUAGGCCUAAAUACGUCAUAAGGGCUAAUAAGGGCUUGCUGUCCCCAGUCCACCUGGCCAUGCUGCUGCUCCAGUUUCAACUUCCACCUGACUGUGCUGCUGCUCCAGUUUCAACUGUUCUGCCUUAUUAUUAUUCGACCAUGCUGGUCAUUUAUGAACAUUUGAACAUCUUGGCCAUGUUCUGUUAUAAUCUCCACCCGGCACAGCCAGAAGAGGACUGGCCACCCCACAUAGCCUGGUUCCUCUCUAGGUUUCUUCCUAGGUUUUGGCCUUUCUAGGGAGUUUUUCCUAGCCACCGUGCUUCUACACCUGCAUUGCUUGCUGUUUGGGGUUUUAGGCUGGGUUUCUGUACAGCACUUUGAGAUAUCAGCUGAUGUACGAAGGGCUAUAUAAAUAAAAAAUAAAAAAAAUAAAAAAAAUAAUAGCGGCCAUUUUCUGGAAAAUGUAAACCUUUCCACCUUUUUAAGAAUGAUAUCAAUAUGAGCUACAAAUCUUAAUCCAUUUCAUUAAACCUUAAUUCAAUAUGUGUUUGCGUGUAUGUAAACCUGAUUUAUGCAGUGAGAACUAUAAGGAAUACAGCCUCAACUGUGGAUACUUUUAUGCAACAAAGCUUUAUUCAUAUUCAGGCCUGAAUACCAAUUGUUACAGUUCACGCAUAUGACUGGAUUAAGUUAUGUAUUCCUCUGAACGGAAUAAAGGCUUUUUCUGAAGUAUUUUUCGUUUUAGAAGAUGUUUUAGGCAAAAACACUCCAGAUGCUUUGCGUGAUGGAAUAAAUAAAUAUAUAAAGAGCAUUCUUGCUCCAAGCAUACUAAACAAAAGUGGGACAAAUAUACACUUCAAUUCACAGCAUGAUUGUAGAAAAUGUUGUCUUUUCAUUUAAUGCUAUAAAGAUGAUCCUACUUAUAUUUUGAGAAUAUCUUCUCUAACUUAAGUAAGAAAACGUAUUAAAAAUCAUUUCGGGUUGUAGCAGGUUUUGAGGAAUUCAGAAGUGUUUCAACAGAUGUCUAUAAUAAGUGAUUAGGGAAAAUUG
Molecule: long non-coding RNA, 3027 nt
Organism: Oncorhynchus tshawytscha (Chinook salmon)
Lineage: Eukaryota; Metazoa; Chordata; Actinopteri; Salmoniformes; Salmonidae
Source: Ensembl